Candoia aspera is the source of this 114-nucleotide small nuclear RNA. NCBI's taxonomy places the organism in Eukaryota, Metazoa, Chordata, Lepidosauria, Squamata, Candoiidae. The record is from RefSeq and is a predicted model, not a curated record.
GUGUAUGAAAUGAGAGAAGGUUUGCACUCCCCUUGACGAGGAUGGAAGAGGUCCCUGCAGCUGGUGCAACAAUACAUACAGUUCCUUCCAAAGGAGGAAAAUCUAACAUUUUUU